Molecule: ribosomal RNA, 503 nt
Filed under: uncultured bacterium
Lineage: Bacteria
Description: bacterial LSU rRNA
Rfam family: Bacterial large subunit ribosomal RNA
Source: RNAcentral
AUGGGGGAUGCCUAGGCUCUCAGAGGCGAAGAAGGACGUGAUAAGCUGCGAAAAGCUACGGGGAGGAGCACAUAUCUGUUAAUCCGUAGAUAUCCGAAUGGGGGCAACCCACUAAGUUGAAGACUUAGUAUCCGAUAGGAAAGCAAACCCGCUGAACUGAAACAUCUAAGUAGGCGGAGGAGAAGAAAACAAAAGUGAUUCCGUAAGUAGUGGCGAGCGAACGCGGAAAAGCCCAAACCGUUGUUGUUAUGGCAAUAACGGGGUUGUAGGACCACAAUAUUUUAUGCUAAUCGAACUAGAAUUUCUUGGAAAAGUAGACGAUACAAGGUGAUAGUCCUGUAUAGGUAAGAGCGGUAAUAAAUAGUGGUAUCCUGAGUAGGGCGGGGCACGUGAAACCCUGUCUGAAUCUGGCGGGACCAUCCGCUAAGGCUAAAUACUCCUGAGAGACCGAUAGUGAACCAGUACUGUGAAGGAAAGGUGAAAAGAACCGUGAAUAACGGAGU